AUUGAACGCUGGCGGCAUGCUUUACACAUGCAAGUCGAACGGUAACAGGCCGCAAGGUGCUGACGAGUGGCGAACGGGUGAGUAAUGCAUCGGAACGUGCCCAGUCGUGGGGGAUAACUACUCGAAAGAGUAGCUAAUACCGCAUACGAUCUAUGGAUGAAAGCGGGGGACCGUAAGGCCUCGCGCGAUUGGAGCGGCCGAUGUCAGAUUAGGUAGUUGGUGGGGUAAAGGCUCACCAAGCCAACGAUCUGUAGCUGGUCUGAGAGGACGACCAGCCACACUGGGACUGAGACACGGCCCAGACUCCUACGGGAGACAGCAGUGGGGAAUUUUGGACAAUGGGCGCAAGCCUGAUCCAGCAAUGCCGCGUGCAGGAAGAAGGCCUUCGGGUUGUAAACUGCUUUUGUACGGAACGAAACGGCUCUGGUUAAUACCCGGGGCUAAUGACGGUACCGUAAGAAUAAGCACCGGCUAACUACGUG
RNAcentral lists this ribosomal RNA (482 nucleotides) under uncultured bacterium. Its description in RNAcentral is "partial 16S ribosomal RNA". It matches the Rfam family "Bacterial small subunit ribosomal RNA", at positions 30 to 507 of the family's 1533-position model. The record is from RNAcentral.